GGGUGAUCGGCCACACUGGGACUGAGACACGGCCCAGACUCCUACGGGAGGCAGCAGUAGGGAAUCUUCCGCAAUGGACGAAAGUCUGACGGAGCAACGCCGCGUGAGUGAUGAAGGUUUUCGGAUCGUAAAGCUCUGUUGUUAGGGAAGAACAAGUACCGUUCGAAUAGGGCGGUACCUUGACGGUACCUAACCAGAAAGCCACGGCUAACUACGUGCCAGCAGCCGCGGUAAUACGUAGGUGGCAAGCGUUGUCCGGAAUUAUUGGGCGUAAAGGGCUCGCAGGCGGUUCCUUAAGUCUGAUGUGAAAGCCCCCGGCUCAACCGGGGAGGGUCAUUGGAAACUGGGGAACUUGAGUGCAGAAGAGGAGAGUGGAAUUCCACGUGUAGCGGUGAAAUGCGUAGAGAUGUGGAGGAACACCAGUGGCGAAGGCGACUCUCUGGUCUGUAACUGACGCUGAGGAGCGAAAGCGUGGGGAGCGAACAGGAUUAGAUACCCUGGUAGUCCACGCCGUAAACGAUGAGUGCUAAGUGUUA
Molecule: ribosomal RNA, 536 nt
Filed under: Bacillus mojavensis
Lineage: Bacteria; Bacillati; Bacillota; Bacilli; Caryophanales; Bacillaceae
Description: bacterial SSU rRNA
Rfam family: Bacterial small subunit ribosomal RNA
Source: RNAcentral